GACGUAGGGCGCGAGCGUUGUCCGGAUUUAUUGGGCGUAAAGAGCUCGUAGGCGGCUUGUCGCGUCGACUGUGAAAACCCACGGCUUAACUGUGGGCUUGCAGUCGAUACGGGCAGGCUAGAGUUCGGUAGGGGAGACUGGAAUUCCUGGUGUAGCGGUGAAAUGCGCAGAUAUCAGGAGGAACACCGGUGGCGAAGGCGGGUCUCUGGGCCGAUACUGACGCUGAGGAGUGAAAGCGUGGGGAGCGAACAGG
RNAcentral lists this ribosomal RNA (253 nucleotides) under uncultured bacterium. RNAcentral's name for it is "partial 16S ribosomal RNA". It matches the Rfam family "Bacterial small subunit ribosomal RNA", at positions 524 to 776 of the family's 1533-position model. The record is from RNAcentral.